This is an RNA transcript of Hevea brasiliensis (rubber tree), 1621 nucleotides long. It is a transcript of the gene named auxin-responsive protein IAA32, with no coding region annotated. Lineage: Eukaryota; Viridiplantae; Streptophyta; Magnoliopsida; Malpighiales; Euphorbiaceae. The record is from RefSeq and is a predicted model, not a curated record. The transcript has 2 exons.
UAUGCAAUAUUAUAAUGGAUUCCAACACAUCAGGCUUCUUUCUGAAUCCUUCUGCCCCUCACUCAGUUUACUAUCAGGCAAAAGAAGAUGAUGGUAUUAUAGAUCUGGGCCUUAGUCUCAGAACUUUGCAACUUGAAGCUUAUCAUCCAUCAGCACAUUGACCAUCUUUUGAAGGAAAGAUAUCUAAUUCAGGAAAUGAUUAGGAAAACAUUAAUAGAUAGGAGGAAUCGAUUAACACAGAAGUAGCGAGAACAUAUAAAAUUUCCCUGAAAGGAAAAGAAAAUCACCAAGUUGUCAUGAGAGAGAGAUGCUUAUUAGAUGAUGACAAAAUUUGAUUAGUGAUGCAUGUGCUUUGCUUACUUGCACUGUUCCUUACCAUAUAUAAUCUUAAUAAUUAUGUUACUAUAAAGCAAUCACUUGUUUGGAGAGUUCUAAAGUCACUAGAGGUCCUAAAACGAACCAGUCAUAUUUGUUUAGAUAAAUGGGCCAUUCAUUCUAAAAGAAAUUGAAACAAAAGGCUGCUGAGGCUGAGUCUGGCCGUGCUAUAUCAUACUAAAGUUCAAUCUGGACUAAUCUAGUUACAGAAAACCACAUUGUAUUUGGAGAGCUUAGAACAAGCUAAGAAAGGUUAAUGGAACAAAUAAUAGAAAUACUAAACUGACUUGGAACAACAGAACAGAUAUAAUAGACCACAAAGCUGAAUCUAACUUCAGCAGAAAAAUGACUGAAGGCAUUGCAGGGAGACAAUUAUAGGUAGAGAUAGGACACAUUUGGAAAUUCACUCCCCUGUCUCCGCAACUAUCAAUAACGUAUUGAUAAACUUCAAGUUUCGACCGCAAAUUUAAUACCAACGUAAUUACGAUAUUGAAAUCAGAGGAGUUAUCACAGUAUAGUAGGAUUAUACUGAUUAAUUACAUUUUUCAUUUCAUUUGAAGCUUAAGAAGAAAAUUAUAUUGUCUAUUCACUAAGACAGGUCUAACCAGUGUUUUUUGUUACGUAUGUAUCAGUCAUGAGUCAGGAGGGAUAUGGUGAACUGAUGGCCUGGCCUCAGGCAAAUCCGUCGAUGAAACAUUCAAAUUCAGGAUAUGAAGGAACUACACGACAAGAAUGCGAUGAGGAGGCAGAGGGGCUGCAAAGCAAAGAAAGUUGGGCUUAUGUAAACGUGAACAUGGAUGGGGUAGUUGUCGGCAGGAAAAUUUGCAUGCUAGAUCAUGGUGGUUACUCCUGCCUCGCAGUUCAACUAGAAGACAUGUUUGGGCAAAAUACUUAGCCUUGGGAGCGUGACAUUUUUCUGACUAUAAAAUUAAAUAAAAUGAUUCAAGAUUCAUUAAUUGUUUUAGGAAGACAUUCUGCAACUGGGUUAAGGCUGUUCCAGCCAGGGUCUGAAUUCUGCUUGUUUUAUAAGGACAGGGAGGAGAACUGGAGGACUGUUGGUGAUGUCCCUUGGAAGUAGGUUCUUUAUUGCUGUUACAUAACUAUGUUUCUUCUUUGUAUUAGAUAAGACAUAGUAGUUCAGUGAGAUAUUUUUCUGAAUCUUGACAGGGAGUUUGUGGAAAGUGUGAAACGUCUAAGGAUUGCACAAAGAAAGUGAACCUUGUCUACCAUAUUCUUGUGCAACUUG